AUUGAACGCUGGCGGCAUGCCUAACACAUGCAAGUCGAGCGGCAGCACAGUGUGUAGCAAUACACAUGGGUGGCGAGUGGCGGACGGGUGAGGAAUACAUAGGAAUCUGCCCUGUAGCGGGGGAUAGUCCGGGGAAACUCGGGGUAAUACCGCAUACGACCUUCGGGUGGAAAGAGGGGGAUCGGAAAGACCUCUCACUAUUGGAUGAGCCUAUGUCGGAUUAGCUAGUUGGUGGGGUAAAGGCCUACCAAGGCGACGAUCCGUAGCUGGUCUGAGAGGACGACCAGCCACACCGGAACUGAGACACGGUCCGGACUCCUACGGGAGGCAGCAGUGGGGAAUAUUGGACAAUGGGCGAAAGCCUGAUCCAGCAAUGCCGCGUGUGUGAAGAAGGCCUUCGGGUUGUAAAGCACUUUAGGCUGGGAAGAAAAGCGCCACCUAAUACGUGGUGCCUUGACGGUACCAGUAGAAUAAGCACCGGCUAACUCUGUGCCAGCAGCCGCGGUAAUACAGAGGGUGCAAGCGUUAAUCGGAUUUACUGGGCGUAAAAGCGUGCGUAGGCGGUUCAGUAUGUCGGUCGNNAAAUCCCGGGCUUAACCUGGGAACUGCGGCCGAAACUGCUGGGCUCGAGUGUGGUAGAGGGCGGUGGAAUUCCGGGUGUAGCGGUGAAAUGCGUAGAGAU
Molecule: ribosomal RNA, 682 nt
Filed under: uncultured bacterium
Lineage: Bacteria
Description: bacterial SSU rRNA
Rfam family: Bacterial small subunit ribosomal RNA
Source: RNAcentral